AGAUUGAUCAUGGCUAGGGAUGAACGCUGGCGGCGUGCCUAACACAUGCAAGUCGAACGAAGCAUCUUGCCCGACAAAGAGGAGUGCUUGCACAAAUCGGAGUCAAUUAAGAUGACUUAGUGGCGGACGGGUGAGUAACGCGUGGGUAACCUGCCCUAUACAGGGGGAUAACAGUUAGAAAUGACUGCUAAUACCGCAUAAGCGCACAGUACCGCAUGGUACAGUGUGAAAAACUCAGGUGGUAUAGGAUGGACCCGCGUCUGAUUAGCCAGUUGGCAGGGUAACGGCCUACCAAAGCGACGAUCAGUAGCCGGCCUGAGAGGGUGAACGGCCACAUUGGGACUGAGACACGGCCCAAACUCCUACGGGAGGCAGCAGUGGGGGAUAUUGCACAAUGGGGGAAACCCUGAUGCAGCGACGCCGCGUGAGCGAUGAAGUAUUUCGGUAUGUAAAGCUCUAUCAGCAGGGAAGAAAAUGACGGUACCUGACUAAGAAGCUCCGGCUAAAUACGUGCCAGCAGCCGCGGUAAUACGUAUGGAGCAAGCGUUAUCCGGAUUUACUGGGUGUAAAGGGAGCGUAGACGGUUUGCCAAGUCUGAUGUGAAAGGUGUGGGCUCAACCCGCAAACUGCAUUGGAAACUGGUGUACUUGAGUGUCGGAGAGGUAAGUGGAAUUCCUAGUGUAGCGGUGAAAUGCGUAGAUAUUAGGAGGAACACCAGCGGGCGAAGGCGGCUUACUGGACGAAUAACUGGACGGUUGAGGCUCCGAAAGCCGUUGAG
RNAcentral lists this ribosomal RNA (778 nucleotides) under uncultured bacterium. Its description in RNAcentral is "bacterial SSU rRNA". It matches the Rfam family "Bacterial small subunit ribosomal RNA", at positions 10 to 768 of the family's 1533-position model. The record is from RNAcentral.